RNAcentral lists this transfer RNA (74 nucleotides) under Phycisphaerae bacterium. RNAcentral describes it as "tRNA-Cys". It matches the Rfam family "tRNA". From Rfam's summary of the family: Transfer RNA (tRNA) molecules are approximately 80 nucleotides in length. Their secondary structure includes four short double-helical elements and three loops (D, anti-codon, and T loops). Further hydrogen bonds mediate the characteristic L-shaped molecular structure. tRNAs have two regions of fundamental functional importance: the anti-codon, which is responsible for specific mRNA codon recognition, and the 3' end, to which the tRNAs corresponding amino acid is attached (by aminoacyl-tRNA synthetases). tRNAs cope with the degeneracy of the genetic code in two manners: having more than one tRNA (with a specific anti-codon) for a particular amino acid; and 'wobble' base-pairing, i.e. permitting non-standard base-pairing at the 3rd anti-codon position. The record is from RNAcentral. Lineage: Bacteria; Pseudomonadati; Planctomycetota; Phycisphaerae. RNAcentral also lists the same sequence under 1 other name.
GGCGGCGUAGCCAAGUGGCCUAAGGCGACGGUUUGCAAAACCGUUAUUCCUGGGUUCGAAUCCCAGCGCCGCCU